Long non-coding RNA from Rhinolophus ferrumequinum (greater horseshoe bat), 592 nucleotides. RefSeq lists it as uncharacterized. NCBI's taxonomy places the organism in Eukaryota, Metazoa, Chordata, Mammalia, Chiroptera, Rhinolophidae. The record is from RefSeq and is a predicted model, not a curated record. The transcript is spliced from 3 exons.
CCAAUAAGUGAAGUACUCAUUAGUUGGCUGGGAGUUCAUCGAAAGAGAAAUGAGCCUGGGUGAGCCUGACCAAAUCAGAUUGGGCUGUGGAGGAUUCCACCUUCACAAGCUGUGUGAUCUCAAGCAACUGGCUUCACCCCGGGAAUCUCAGUUUCCUCAUCUGUCAAAUGGGGCCCCUCCCUUGCGGGGUGGUCCUCAGUGCCCACAAGACAGUGCAACAGAAGAGCUGAGCAGAGGGACCAGCCAUCGAUGAGAAACUGAGGCUACAAAAGGUCGCUGGCGUGUCACAGAGUACAACCCUCGGAGGCUGAGGGAACCCAGGCUUAGGAUGGUGAAAGGUACCACCCAAGGUCCCAGAGGUGGGAUUUGAACCCACUUUCACUGCACCAAAGCCGAGUCUUAACCACCAAAGGAUACUUCGUUCUCCCAUCUUUUCUAGCCAACCUCUGCAGUCAGCAUCCUGGCACGCCAAAACCUGUCAUGCAUGCACCAUGUGGCUUUAGGUAACUCACACCAGCUCUCUGAACCUCGUUUCUGCCUUUGUGUAAGAGAGAAUCGACCUAGCUGCAUUCCGGCAGCAUUUCCCUCAGCU